UACGUAGGGUGCGAGCGUUAAUCGGAAUUACUGGGCGUAAAGCGUGCGCAGGCGGUUUUGUAAGCCAGAUGUGAAAUCCCCGGGCUCAACCUGGGAAUGGCAGUGGAAACUGGCGGGCUUGAGUGUGGCAGAGGGGGGUGGAAUUCCGCGUGUAGCAGUGAAAUGCGUAGAGAUGCGGAGGAACACCGAUGGCGAAGGCAGCCCCCUGGGCUAACACUGACGCUGGAGGCACGAAAGCGGUGGGAGCAAACAGG
RNAcentral lists this ribosomal RNA (254 nucleotides) under uncultured bacterium. RNAcentral describes it as "partial 16S ribosomal RNA". It matches the Rfam family "Bacterial small subunit ribosomal RNA", at positions 524 to 776 of the family's 1533-position model. The record is from RNAcentral.